Molecule: long non-coding RNA, 412 nt
Organism: Brassica rapa (field mustard)
Lineage: Eukaryota; Viridiplantae; Streptophyta; Magnoliopsida; Brassicales; Brassicaceae
Source: RefSeq, a predicted model, not a curated record
CAAACCAGGAUGAAUCUCUUUGUGAGAAGCUUGAUUUGGAGACAUAAAGUGGAGGAGAAUCACCAGGAAGUUGAAUAAAUUUCAUAGGAGUUGGCAAGAAGAAGUUAUCCCACUUUCAAAUCAGGUGAUUCCAGUUUUCCAGUUUGGGAAUAGGACAGCUUCUUCGCCGUUCCAAUCAAACCAGGAUGAAUCUCUUUGUGAGAAGCUUGAUUUGGAGACAUUAAGUGGAGGAGAAUCACGAGGAAGUUGAAUAAAUUUCAUAGGAGUUGGCAAGAAGAAGUUAUCCCACUUUCAAAUCACGUGAUUCCAGUUUCCCAGUUUGGGAAUAGCACAGUUUCAUCGUCGUUCCAAUUAAACCGGGAUGAAUCACUGUGUGUGAAGCUUGAUUUGGAUACAUAAAGUGGUGAAGAAU